RNAcentral lists this long non-coding RNA (408 nucleotides) under Heterocephalus glaber (naked mole-rat). Its description in RNAcentral is "lncRNA (ENSHGLG00100049752.1)". Lineage: Eukaryota; Metazoa; Chordata; Mammalia; Rodentia; Bathyergidae. The record is from RNAcentral.
CAUUUAAACAUAAGGUCUCUAGGAUGGGUCUUGUCAGGACCUUCAAGGUCUGAUAUCCUAUGGGUUCUGUCUGGUCUUUGAGCUGCAGCUGAUAGCCAUGCAUGCUCGUGGCCUCUGUCCAUCUCUCACAAGGAGAUUUGGACAACAAGGACUCAUGAAGGACAGCACAUGUCAAGGCUGGGGAGAAGAAGAGGAGCCAAGAAGGAGCAGCCAGGGAGUAUACAUUUGUGAUCCAGAAAUACAUUCAGCAUGAGGAACUGCUACCGAAGUAAGACAGCAAAUCAACAAUCUAAGUUUCUUCAUCAAGAAAUUAGAAAACAAAGACCAAAAUCAAACCAAAACAAGCCUGAGGAAGGAACUAAUGAAGGUAAGAGGAGAAAUCAAUGUGAUUGAAAACUAGAAAACGAG